This 846-nucleotide ribosomal RNA is filed under the name uncultured bacterium. Its description in RNAcentral is "bacterial SSU rRNA". It matches the Rfam family "Bacterial small subunit ribosomal RNA", at positions 61 to 899 of the family's 1533-position model. The record is from RNAcentral.
GUCGGGCGGUAACCAGGGAGCUUGCUCCCGGGUGACGAGCGGCGGACGGGUCAUUUAUGUCUGGGAAACUGCCUGAUGGAGGGGGAUAACUACUGGCUUCGGUAGCUAAUACCGCAUAAUGUCGCAAGACCAAAGAGGGGGACCUUCGGGCCUCUUGCCAUCAGAUGUGCCCAGAUGGGAUUAGCUAGUAGGUGGGGUAAUGGCUCACCUAGGCGACGAUCCCUAGCUGGUCUGAGAGGAUGACCAGCCACACUGGAACUGAGACACGGUCCAGACUCCUACGGGAGGCAGCAGUGGGGAAUAUUGCACAAUGGGCGCAAGCCUGAUGCAGCCAUGCCGCGUGUAUGAAGAAGGCCUUCGGGUUGUAAAGUACUUUCAGCGGGGAGGAAGGCGUUGUGGUUAAUAACCACAGCGAUUGACGUUACCCGCAGAAGAAGCACCGGCUAACUCCGUGCCAGCAGCCGCGGUAAUACGGAGGGUGCAAGCGUUAAUCGGAAUUACUGGGCGUAAAGCGCACGCAGGCGGUCUGUCAAGUCGGAUGUGAAAUCCCCGGGCUCAACCUGGGAACUGCAUUCGAAACUGGCAGGCUAGAGUCUUGUAGAGGGGGGUAGAAUUCCAGGUGUAGCGGUGAAAUGCGUAGAGAUCUGGAGGAAUACCGGUGGCGAAGGCGGCCCCCUGGACAAAGACUGACGCUCAGGUGCGAAAGCGUGGGGAGCAAACAGGAUUAGAUACCCUGGUAGUCCACGCCGUAAACGAUGUCCAUUUGGAGGUUGUUCCCCUGAGGAGGGGCUUCCCGAGCUAACCCGUUAAAUCGACCGCCUGGGGAGUACGGCCGCAAGGGUAAAA